GAAGCUCUCACACUUGUAUGUCAAAACAAGGAGCUCUUUUUAUUAGUAAGAAGAGAAUUGGUGAGAGGACUACCUCAUCUGAAAUUCAUUAUGGAUGAAGAUUAUGAGGUAUGUCAAUAGGGAAGUUGAAGGAGCAUCGCACAGAAGCAAAGAUAUGAUCAACAUUACUGAGCCGCUUCAGAUGAUACAUAUGGAUUUCUACGGAUCAGUUAAUGUCAUGUCUACAACAAA
RNAcentral lists this long non-coding RNA (231 nucleotides) under Daucus carota (carrot). Its description in RNAcentral is "long non-coding RNA (DCAR_LNC001984)". The record is from RNAcentral. Lineage: Eukaryota; Viridiplantae; Streptophyta; Magnoliopsida; Apiales; Apiaceae.